CCUCUGAAACUGAUUUGGAGCAUCGAUUGGUUUCUUCAACAUGGAGAGAGAGCACCGAUCGCAGUUGCGACCUGCUGUUGCCUCGCCGUGUUCUUCACGGAAGUUACAGUAUGGCACGUGCCAGCCUUUGGACUGAGCUGAGCCGAGCAAACUGCGGCGCGGUGGCAGACAGGACAGCGUGUAGUGGAUUCUACGUGGCGCGUGUGGUGCCCGCGGCCAAGCACCGGAAGCAGAGCGCACCCGGGCAGCCCCACGCCACGUGUCAGGACUCAGGAGAUGGGAGCGAGGCGACAAGGCUAAAAGCAAACCGAGCUGCGAAUCCCCAGCCCCAGCAUGCUGGUGUUCUCAGGUGGGCCCUCCCCUUUUGACGACGGCCAGUGGCGAGUGCGGCGAGUCCAAAGGCCCAAACGAAAGGCGCAAAGGGCAAGCGCCAAGCGCGGUGGUGGGCGUCGGCGCUGGACCUUGACCGCCGGAAGAAGAAGGAACUUUCGCAGGUUCGUGCCCGCGUCCAGUCAACCGUUCUGUUCUGCUCUCUCCACUCCUCUCCCUCCUCUCGUUCCGCAUCGCAUCAUUGCUUGCGUCGUCGCCGGGCCUCGCAGCUGAGUGCUGAAUUACCUUUUCUUUUUUUUUUAUUCUUCUUCCCUCAGGAGAUGUCGGCCUCGGUUCCUAUCGUGUCCAGCUGGGUACGCGGCGCAGGGGAUGAUGCAUCAUGCAUGCAUGUGCGUGGACGCCACGAGCCUGACGGAUGGGCGAUGGAGUUUGCUAUCGGGAACAAACAAAUCACAUUCCAAGUUAGUACGGCCUCAAUCCUAAAAUUUAAAUUUUAUGGAUCGUAUAAGUUUGCACCGAAAUUGAACUUUAUGAUAUGAAAUGGGUAUAUUUAAGGUAUUGUUUGUUUAAGAUUAUAAUCCACCUAGAUUAUAUAAGUUAAAUUAUGGGUCAUGGUAAUAUGGUGUCACUUGGAAAACUUUUCCCGGUGUGGGUGUGGUUUCAUG
This 995-nucleotide long non-coding RNA is filed under the name Setaria italica (foxtail millet). Its description in RNAcentral is "long non-coding RNA (SITA_LNC000141)". The record is from RNAcentral. Lineage: Eukaryota; Viridiplantae; Streptophyta; Magnoliopsida; Poales; Poaceae.